Molecule: unclassified non-coding RNA, 830 nt
Filed under: Hevea brasiliensis (rubber tree)
Lineage: Eukaryota; Viridiplantae; Streptophyta; Magnoliopsida; Malpighiales; Euphorbiaceae
Source: RNAcentral
GGACGACUCGGCUCCGCUGCUUUUGGCUGGGCUGCAGGUCUAAUCGGUUCAGCUGCUACAGGCUGCGGUGAAGGACGAAUAGGCUCGGUUGCUUUUGCUUGAGGCGCAGCCUGAGGCACAGGACGAUUCAGCUCAGUGAUUUUAUGCUGAGGUAUCGGCCGAAUUGGUUCAGUCAUUCUCGGCUGAGUUUCUAAGCGAGUUGACUCUGGCUGAGCCAUGCCAUCCUCGUCCACUACUACUCUUCCAUCCCUGCUGAUUUUAGGGCUUCUCCUCACAUUUCCUUGUGAGGAUUGCCCCUGUGGAAACUCUUGACCAGGAAUGACAAGUUGCCCGAGUUGACCGAGUUGGCCAAGUUGCCCGAGCUGACUCACCUGCAACUCGUGAUCGUACAUUGCCUUCUUUGACGGGUUCGAGAACACCAUCCAAGCCUCAGAAACGAGCCUAAAAGCAUGAUCUGCAAAAGAAAGCCUAUUCCUGGUAGGAUUCAACAACAAAGCAAGCUUACGGUACUGAGUCGCGACGAGUUCCAUAGACUGAGACAAUCUCGGGAGUUGAAGGAUCGCAUAAUAGUCAUGGCUACCACCGCCGUUGUAAUUAAUGAUUCUCAACUCUCCGGCGAGGAGCGUGUCAGCGAUGGCGAUAAUUUGAUCCGAAAACUCCAGGAGCCUGGGGUCGGACUCUCGUGCUCUGAUCGCAAAGCUCUUGGCGCCCUGGAAAUCACGUGCGGUGAGAAGCUUCUCCGCUAUGGUAAGCCACCGCUCCGCUUCUAUCCUGUAGCUGCCACCGUCCAUUUCCCUUUCUCUAACUUUCUCUCUCAACACUUUUUCUCC